RNAcentral lists this ribosomal RNA (292 nucleotides) under uncultured bacterium. RNAcentral's name for it is "partial 16S ribosomal RNA". It matches the Rfam family "Bacterial small subunit ribosomal RNA", at positions 505 to 796 of the family's 1533-position model. The record is from RNAcentral.
GUGCCAGCAGCCGCGGUAAUACGGAGGAUCCAAGCGUUAUCCGGAAUCAUUGGGUUUAAAGGGUCCGUAGGCGGUCUUAUAAGUCAGUGGUGAAAUCUCCCCGCUCAACGGGGAAACGGCCAUUGAUACUGUAGGACUUGAAUUAUUAGGAAGUAACUAGAAUAUGUAGUGUAGCGGUGAAAUGCUUAGAGAUUACAUGGAAUACCAAUUGCGAAGGCAGGUUACUACUAAUGGAUUGACGCUGAUGGACGAAAGCGUGGGUAGCGAACAGGAUUAGAAACCCGAGUAGUCC